GAUGAAGAACGCAGCGAAAUGCGAUAAGUAAUGUGAAUUGCAGAAUUCAGUGAAUCAUCGAAUCUUUGAACGCACAUUGCGCCCCCUGGUAUUCCGGGGGGCAUGCCUGUUCGAGCGUCAUUUCACCACUCAAGCCUCGCUUGGUAUUGGGCAACGCGGUCCGCCGCGUGCCUCAAAUCGACCGGCUGGGUCUUCUGUCCCCUAAGCGUUGUGGAAACUAUUCGCUAAAGGGUGUUCGGGAGGCUACGCCGUAAAACAACCCCAUUUCUAAGGUUGACCUCGGAUCAGGUAGGGAUACCCGCUGAACUUAAGCAUAUCAUAAGCCGGAGGA
This 331-nucleotide unclassified non-coding RNA is filed under the name soil metagenome. RNAcentral's name for it is "partial contains 5.8S ribosomal RNA, internal transcribed spacer 2, and large subunit ribosomal RNA". The stretch from base 1 to 120 matches the Rfam family "5.8S ribosomal RNA", at positions 35 to 154 of the family's 154-position model. The record is from RNAcentral.